Long non-coding RNA from Leopardus geoffroyi (Geoffroy's cat), 343 nucleotides. RefSeq lists it as uncharacterized. Lineage: Eukaryota; Metazoa; Chordata; Mammalia; Carnivora; Felidae. The record is from RefSeq and is a predicted model, not a curated record. The transcript is spliced from 2 exons.
UGGCAUCUCUUCUUUGGAGCUUGCUAUAAACUAUACAGUGUCUCCCAUCACAGAUAGUUUUAGUACUAUAGGAUUGGCCAGGCUGAACGGAUGAGGGGCAGAACUGUUUACAUCAUAGCCUAGAGCCUGCUGCAGUUUCUCCUAGAUUUACAACUGUCAGCUUAUGAUCUUCAUUAAAAGGAAUGUAGCAGUAUUCUCAAAUACGGUAUGUAAAGCUGGGUUUUCUUCACAUACUUCAAUCAAGGAACAUAUGAUAACAGACUGAGUAUGUAUAUGUGAGAAUCUAGUCGUCUCUUGUUAUCAGACACUUUAAAAAUGUGCAAAAAUAAAUGAUGCUGCUCUA